Non-coding RNA from Lolium perenne, 3120 nucleotides. Lineage: Eukaryota; Viridiplantae; Streptophyta; Magnoliopsida; Poales; Poaceae. The record is from RefSeq and is a predicted model, not a curated record.
UGCUUGGAGCAUGGUUGAGUCAGCUCCCUUGCUGCAGCCUACGGCUCUCCCCUUGCCCCCUUGUCGAAGCCAUCGGAGAGGACAAGGCCGCCAACCCAUGAUGAUACACUCACAGCUACCCAGGCCUCGCUGGUCCUCCCUUGCAUGCCCUCAUAUGCCAGGGGUUAUGGCAAUCAGGACAUGGUGGGAGCAGUUGGUGGUAAGGCAGAGUCAGGCGUACUGCCAGCAGUGGCACUACUCAAGAUCAAUGCCAUGAGGAGUAUCACUCAAGUCCCAGGAUUUGAUGACAUUGUUUCUGGCUAUUAGGUUGUACAACAUCUUUGUUAUGGAUUGUGACCCCCACACAAUACUGGAUUCAGAGAAGGCGGAGAUCCGUGGAUGCCAGUGAGGGAGGCAGCUUGGCUCGGACUGGCCAUGGCGCUGGCGUUGAUGACUCCCUGCUAUCCUCCUUUGUCUCCCAUCCACAGCUUGGCUCGGACUUGGUGGAACAUGUAUAGAAGAGGCUUUCAUCAUUUGUCAACUGGGUCGCACUUUCCUUGUCAUCUCUUAGUAAUAGAUUUUCUGUAACACUAAAAUCAGAACCUUAGCCUCUGCAAACAGUGCAUGCAGAUUUACAAUAGUAAGGCAUCUUAUCGUGGACAUAUUUUUGACUUGGCUGAUUAGGAAGUAAGUGAAAAAUGAUUUCCUGAAAUCUGCACAUUGCAUCCUAGAAAGUUGUGAAUAAAAUUAUGAUUAUGCAUUAAUAUGCUCAUCUCUGCUUGGAACUUUUGGCAAAUAAAUAUAACGUGACGAUGUUCUCAUAUCAGGUCUCGAGCGGCUGGUGGUGGUGUACAAUGGUGCCCAGCGGCGCGCACAACGGGUGUACGAUAUGUGGCAUCGGCGCCACCUGUGAGCUAUUCUCAUGGAGGACGCCGUCCGGGCGACGCCUGCCCGCGCCCGUCGCUCGACCCUCGCCGCCGGACUCCCACGUGCUCCUCCCAGGCACCAUGGCGUUGGGGACGCACAACCCAGGCACCGCAGACCAUGUGUGAAGGCUGGAUGCGAGACCUCAUGCACUCACUUGAGGGCGAGCUCAGCCGAUGCCUAGACGCCAAGGCUUUAAAAAUUUGUUGAUGUGUGGAUUAUAAAUGUAUGGGGUUUCUAUUGCCAUGCCUGCCACUCUGGUGCAGCUCCGGCACACGCUGGAUGGCCUUGUCCCUAAAGGUGAUUUGGUAAUACGUUGCAUGCUAUUCUGUUUGGUUAGCUCUGACCACGUUGAUUGGUUUUCUGUAAUUAGUCAAGUAGUAUAUUGUCAUCCCUUGUGCAUAUUGAAAAUACAACUGAUUGGUUAGCUGCACAGAUUAACUGAUUCAAUGUUUUUUUUGUUAACAUUGAUGUGUCAUCUGAGGUCCUAUAUCUAUCUGAUGAGUGCUAAAAUGGUGUGGACGUGUGGCUUUUGGAUUUUUUACUGCUCAAGAAUUCAGUCUGACGAUAUUUGGUGGACACAUGCUCUUUAGGUGGAUUGACCCCUACCGUGGCUGAGGUGUACAGACAUAGUGAAUUUUCUGGAGCUCUGCUUGAAUUUGAACACUCAGUUUGCGUCCCAGAUUUCUCUGAACUCCAGUAUAUAAAAAAAAUUAUUUUGUUCUUCUCUUUGGUUGGCAAUUAUAAGAUUUAAAUAGCUCGUAAGCACAUGAGGAUGCUCAAUGUAAACUGGUAUACUUAUCUCUCUCUUGUUGUUAGGUUGAAUUGGUAAAAGCAUUUUGUUCUUUGUAUGGUUAGUAAUAUGGCUGAACACUAAGAGCUGAGCUAAUUUGUAGAGACAGCGUGGAUGUUUUAUUUUCCAUAUAUCCCAUUACUCAUGAUGGUGGAAAUAAAAGUUUACCUACUUAGUUGCCAAAUCUCACUGGAAUUGCUUUUGGAUGUAGUGACAGUGAUAUCUGAACUCAUAUUUUGAGUGAUAUUUUUCAGUGCGAACCUAACUAAUUUAAAUUUUCUCAUUGUCCGUGAUGUAUGUGACGGUGAUCCUUGCAUCUUCUUUGCCAUGAAAUCAUGUUUAUUUACUCUAGCGGUGAGUCCAUGUUUGGAAGAAAUUAAUAAUUUCAGUACAUGUUGGAGCUUUUGGGUCGUUCCAGUGUGAAAUAGUUGUAGUUUUGCACCAUCUAUCCAAUUGGGCUUAUGCAGAUAGCUUAAAUUCAUGGAUAUGAGCAUAUGUAUAUAUCUUGUGAGAGACUUAAGAGAAACCAAAUAUGAUCACCAAUUUAGGAACCAAAUAUACGGGAGAGUCUCAGAUUCUAAGAAGGGUUCUAGAGUUUCAUAUUGCUGUGUCCUGGCUCCACUUGCCCCCAUGCCAAAACCAUCGGUGUGGCAUGGGGGCAUCGACCUCUCAGAAGGCAGGUUCUACGGCCAUUGGUAGAGCUAAGGCGGACGAAGUGGUGUUCUGGCUGGUGAGUUAUCAUCAUCUCGUUUCAUUGUUCGGUACUCAUCAAAUCUGAGACUAUGGAAUAUGUAUGACACGGAUUACCGAUAUUCAUUGUUGAAGGGUUGCUGAUGCUUGGGAUGGGGUAAAUCUUAAGCUUACUCUCUGCAGAACUGUGUCUCAGUGAGUGUUCCAUAUAUGGUUAGACUUGGUCUCUUUGUUGACACAUAGUGGGUUAGUGAAAAUAACAAUCCAGUGAUCUAUAUUACCUCUGCUGCACUUUGGACAUUGUGGACUGUGUGUAAUGGAAUGUGCUUUCAGGUACUAAGAUGGUUGCGUGUCAGGGAGAUGUUAACAAGAAUCGAGAUGUUGAUUGGAAGCUGGAAGGUGCUUUGGUUGGACAAACAUUCCAGUUUGCUGGAUCCUGGAGGAGUACCUGAUGAAGCUGAACCCCUUGAAAGGGGAACUUCUUUGAAUUGGAUGGACAUGAAUGAACUGAUCCUGGGGUGUAUGUCUACUGAAUCUACAUCAUCUGUCCCCCUUCUGAAGAAAUGGCGUCAGGAGCUGGCCUGUGAAGCUUUAUUGGGAUGAUUGGCAAUACCUUGUGACUCUGUAGGCUUAUUCCUGUAGCUACCUGAAAGUGUUGUUGCCUCUCGCCUGUUGCCAUUUUCUGUUUUCGGCUUUGUUACUGUAACCUGAUGAUGUGACUGCUUUGCAUAUAA